Molecule: ribosomal RNA, 317 nt
Filed under: uncultured archaeon
Lineage: Archaea
Description: bacterial SSU rRNA
Rfam family: Archaeal small subunit ribosomal RNA
Source: RNAcentral
GGUUAAGUCAGGCAACGAGCAAGACCCGUGCCCACAGUUGCCAGCAUACCCUCCGGGGUGAUGGGCACACUGUGGGGACCGCCGCUGCCAAAGCGGAGGAAGGCGCGGGCUACGGUAGGUCAGUAUGCCCCGAAUCAUCCGGGCUACACGCGGGCUACAAUGGUUGGGACAAUGGGCACCUACACCGAGAGGUGAUGGUAAUCUCCUAAACCCAGCCUUAGUUCGGAUUGAGGGCUGCAACUCGCCCUCAUGAAGCCGGAAUCCGUAGUAAUCGCGUAUCAAUAUCACGCGGUGAAUACGUCCCUGCUCCUUGCACA